This 460-nucleotide ribosomal RNA is filed under the name uncultured bacterium. RNAcentral's name for it is "partial 16S ribosomal RNA". It matches the Rfam family "Bacterial small subunit ribosomal RNA", at positions 338 to 795 of the family's 1533-position model. The record is from RNAcentral.
CCUACGUGAGGCAGCAGUGAGGAAUAUUGGUCAAUGGGCUUACGCCUGAACCAGCCAAGUCGCGUGAGGGAAGACUGCCCUAUGGGUUGUAAACCUCUUUUGUCAGGGAGCAACGCCGGCUACGUGUAGCCGGACUGAGAGUAUCUGAAGAAAAAGCAUCGGCUAACUCCGUGCCAGCAGCCGCGGUGAUACGGAGGAUGCGAGCGUUAUCCGGAUUUAUCGGGUUUAAAGGGUGCGUAGGCGGAAUGCCAAGUCAGCGGUAAAAUCGCGGGGCUCAACCUCGCUCCGCCGUUGAAACUGGCGUUCUUGAGUGGGCGAGAAGUAUGCGGAAUGCGUGGUGUAGCGGUGAAAUGCAUAGAUAUCACGCAGAACUCCGAUUGCGAAGGCAGCAUACCGGCGCCCAACUGACGCUGAAGCACGAAAGCGUGGGUAUCGAACAGGAUUAGAUACCCCAGUAGUC